This is a non-coding RNA of Kogia breviceps (pygmy sperm whale), 462 nucleotides long. Lineage: Eukaryota; Metazoa; Chordata; Mammalia; Artiodactyla; Physeteridae. The record is from RefSeq and is a predicted model, not a curated record.
GAAAGGCGGCUAGAUCUGCUGUUGUUUGCUGACCGGGCAGUCGUCGUUUUCACUGACUUUUCAGACAAGAGACAAUGUAACAUCUUGGCCGCGAACUUUUGGCGUCAGAGACCUCAAACUGAAAACGCAGGACCCCAAGGAACAGCACCUUUGACCACGUGAAGUAAUCCCACGCGCCACCCACAGGCGGAAAUGAGUGGAGCAGCGGGAAAUUCAAAGCUCUGCCUACCAUGAAUCGUUCCAGAUGACAAUCAUUUUCAUGCUUUCAAACAAAGGCUCCAGAAGGACCAUGAAGAAGAGAACAAAGCCAGAAGUUUAACAUCAAUAACAACAAGAAAAGAAGAAAAGAUAUUUAAGUAUUCUGCUCCCUUUUUUUUUGCUGUCUUAUCACAGCAUUUUAGUACUCUUGUUCACCUGAAAUUAGAAGGUUGUGGGUAGGUUGGGACAAGAAUUCAAAUGGCU